AAACUUCUCCCUUCCUUCGGAAGUAUCUCAGUUGAGCUUUGAACUUUUGCACCUUGGAGUUCAGCAUCUGGAGAAAGAGAAAUCAAGAAUCAACGUCUUCUGGAGACAUACAACAGCACUUAAUAAAGAAAUACCUUUCGUUUUUUUACCAAAUGCUGAUAAUGGCAAGUCGCUCUCACUGUCGGAAUCCGUUGAACUGGCAUCACUAUCCCCAUCCACAGCCAGUACAACUCCUUGCCACGGAGACGAACCUGGCCAUGGCAUGAAAACACAAGAGCCUCUUUGGAGAUGGCCUUCAUACUUCAAGUCCUUUUCAGAGACCACAUUUUUGGAGCCGUCAGCCUUCCAUCUCACAAGUACAUCGGUGUCUCCAGUGUAGAUAUUAUCGCGUGUUAACCCCUUUGGCAUAAUCCUAGAAUACAAGUUGAUAAUAAUUUAUUUUAAGUCAUGGUGUGCAAAGGGGAUACGAUUCGUUAACAAUGUUUUAAAGACAGAUGGAAAGUGUCUCUCAUAUUUUGAUUUUCAACAUAAAUACAAUGUACAAGUAAAAUUUAUUUUAUAUCAUGGAUUAUGUAACACUAUUUGAUUCAGUUAUGACAAAAAUGUCAAACCUGAGCUCAUGGUAGCUACAUAUAUUCUCCCCGAAGCAUUGUUUUAAUACUGAAAGUGCAAAAAGGUUGUGCACAUAUCUACUAGUCUUUCUUGAAACAUGAAAUCAAGAAAUGUAAAAGACUUUCAAAAAGUAAACAGGAGUUUGAUCUUGACAAUAUUAUUUAGAGUUCUAUUUACCUAAUCCCCUUUCUUUUGUCAAUAUAAACAUGAGGUGGUUUCAGUUUAAAUUGCUGAUUAGAAUUCUUUAUGUGAAAGAUGCUUUAUAAAGAUCCAAAUUAGUAACAGAUAAGCUAUGUUCAUUUCAUAAUAGCAGCAAAGAAACAAUUAUAAAUAUAUUUUGUUCCUGUGUAUAUUCAAAUGAAAUAUGGUCAAAUCUUGAGCCUUGGCCGUCCCGCAAUAUUAUUCACAUUCACCUUACAUAUAAGAAUAAAAUGUUUGGCUUUUAUGAUGUAAUAACAGUGCUUUCAAUUGUAUCAUGAUUUUAGAAAGGAAAAAAAAAGUUGGCAGCCAAAUGCAAAAAUUGUUUGCCCGUUUUUGAACGGGGGAAAAAAAAUCAUAAAAUGUUAUUAUGAUAUGGGAAAGAAUAUUUGUAAAACAAAUUUAUAAAAAAAAGAAAAUAAAAAAACAAAGUGGUAAAACCUUAUUGAAUGCUUCUCAUUCUCAUUGUGGUUUUUUUUCUCAUGGAAUUAUUUGUCAAGUUAUUUUGUGUCACUUAGGAAAGAAUUUACAAUAUGUAAUUGAUUUUUCUAAUGGUUUGUUCUUAUUUUAUUUAGAAUGGCCAAGAAUAUCAUUGAAAUUUUGCAUGUAUCUAUGUGAUAUUAUUUAAUAAAAAAGGGGAAGUGGAAUCUGUUUCUCUAUGUAUACUGCAACGGAAUUUAAAAAAAAGGCUCAUACCCACAUAGGAUGUAAAAUGUAAUACUAAAUAAUCAUAUAGGUUUUUUUUUCCUUUUGUGCUAAAGAUAUAAAUUAUAGUUUUUAGAUUUUUUUGGGGGGGCUUGACAACAUACCAGAAAUUAACAACAAAUAAAAGAUAAUAAGCCAUUGACUUCAUAUUCGUGAUAUGGUAUCCGUCGUUUAAAAGGAGAUGGGAAAAUAUCAAUUUUACUACAAAGUUAUAUCACCUUGAUUUCAUUCCCGAUAAGUGGUACCUGCCUGCAGGACAAAAAUUUUCAGAGCCCCUGUAGUCAAAACCUAUAUUAGAUUUGAAAAGGAAAAAAAAACUCAUCAAACUCUUUAAAGGGGUCUACAGA
Molecule: long non-coding RNA, 1862 nt
Organism: Lytechinus variegatus (green sea urchin)
Lineage: Eukaryota; Metazoa; Echinodermata; Echinoidea; Temnopleuroida; Toxopneustidae
Exons: 2
Source: RefSeq, a predicted model, not a curated record